RNAcentral lists this ribosomal RNA (477 nucleotides) under Treponema sp. oral taxon 251. RNAcentral describes it as "bacterial SSU rRNA". It matches the Rfam family "Bacterial small subunit ribosomal RNA", at positions 29 to 495 of the family's 1533-position model. Lineage: Bacteria; Pseudomonadati; Spirochaetota; Spirochaetia; Treponematales; Treponemataceae. The record is from RNAcentral.
AACGAACGCUGGCGGUGCGUCUUAAGCAUGCAAGUCGAACGGUAAGAAGAGAGCUUGCUCUUUUCCUAGAGUGGCGGACUGGUGAGUAACGCGUGGAUGAUCUACCUUAAGAUGGGGAUAGCUUCUAGAAAUAGGAGAUAAUACCGAAUAACCUUAUCGUGUUAUGACGUGAUAAGAAAAUGGAGCGUUAGCUCCGCUUGAAGAUGAGUCUGCGUCCCAUUAGCUAGUUGGUAAGGUAAAGGCUUACCAAGGCGAUGAUGGGUAUCCGGCCUGAGAGGGUGAACGGACACAUUGGGACUGAGAUACGGCCCAAACUCCUACGGGAGGCAGCAGCUGAGAAUCUUCCGCAAUGGACGAAAGUCUGACGGAGCGACACCGCGUGAACGAUGAAGGCCGGAAGGUUGUAAAUUCUUUUGCAGACAAAGAAUAAGGAUAGAAGGAAAUGACUAUCUGUGACGGUAUAGCGAAUAAGCCCCG